UACGGAGGAUGCAAGCGUUAUCCGGAAUGAUUGGGCGUAAAGCGUCCGCAGGUGGCUAUGUAAGUCUGCUGUUAAAGAGUGAGGCUCAACCUCAUAAAAGCAGUGGAAACUACAUGGCUAGAGUGCGUUCGGGGCAGAGGGAAUUCCUGGUGUAGCGGUGAAAUGCGUAGAGAUCAGGAAGAACACCGGUGGCGAAAGCGCUCUACUGGACCUCAUCUGACACUCAGGGACGAAAGCUAGGGGAGCGAAUGGG
RNAcentral lists this ribosomal RNA (253 nucleotides) under uncultured bacterium. RNAcentral describes it as "partial 16S ribosomal RNA". It matches the Rfam family "Bacterial small subunit ribosomal RNA", at positions 524 to 776 of the family's 1533-position model. The record is from RNAcentral.